This 1643-nucleotide ribosomal RNA is filed under the name Salmonella enterica. RNAcentral's name for it is "partial 23S ribosomal RNA". It matches the Rfam family "Bacterial large subunit ribosomal RNA", at positions 711 to 2335 of the family's 2925-position model. Lineage: Bacteria; Pseudomonadati; Pseudomonadota; Gammaproteobacteria; Enterobacterales; Enterobacteriaceae. The record is from RNAcentral.
AGACCCGAAACCCGGUGAUCUAGCCAUGGGCAGGUUGAAGGUUGGGUAACACUAACUGGAGGACCGAACCGACUAAUGUUGAAAAAUUAGCGGAUGACCUGUGGCUGGGGGUGAAAGGCCAAUCAAACCGGGAGAUAGCUGGUUCUCCCCGAAAGCUAUUUAGGUAGCGCCUCGUGAAUUCAUCUCCGGGGGUAGAGCACUGUUUCGGCUAGGGGGCCAUCCCGGCUUACCAACCCGAUGCAAACUGCGAAUACCGGAGAAUGUUAUCACGGGAGACACACGGCGGGUGCUAACGUCCGUCGUGAAGAGGGAAACAACCCAGACCGCCAGCUAAGGUCCCAAAGUCAUGGUUAAGUGGGAAACGAUGUGGGAAGGCCCAGACAGCCAGGAUGUUGGCUUAGAAGCAGCCAUCAUUUAAAGAAAGCGUAAUAGCUCACUGGUCGAGUCGGCCUGCGCGGAAGAUGUAACGGGGCUAAACCAUGCACCGAAGCUGCGGCAGCGACACUGUGUGUUGUUGGGUAGGGGAGCGUUCUGUAAGCCUGUGAAGGUGUGUCGUGAGGCAUGCUGGAGGUAUCAGAAGUGCGAAUGCUGACAUAAGUAACGAUAAAGCGGGUGAAAAGCCCGCUCGCCGGAAGACCAAGGGUUCCUGUCCAACGUUAAUCGGGGCAGGGUGAGUCGACCCCUAAGGCGAGGCCGAAAGGCGUAGUCGAUGGGAAACGGGUUAAUAUUCCCGUACUUGGUGUUACUGCGAAGGGGGGACGGAGAAGGCUAUGUUGGCCGGGCGACGGUUGUCCCGGUUUAAGCGUGUAGGUGUGUGUUCCAGGUAAAUCCGGUUCACUUUAACACUGAGGCGUGACGACGAGGCACUACGGUGCUGAAGCAACAAAUGCCCUGCUUCCAGGAAAAGCCUCUAAGCAUCAGGUAACAUCAAAUCGUACCCCAAACCGACACAGGUGGUCAGGUAGAGAAUACCAAGGCGCUUGAGAGAACUCGGGUGAAGGAACUAGGCAAAAUGGUGCCGUAACUUCGGGAGAAGGCACGCUGACACGUAGGUGAAGUGAUUUACUCAUGGAGCUGAAGUCAGUCGAAGAUACCAGCUGGCUGCAACUGUUUAUUAAAAACACAGCACUGUGCAAACACGAAAGUGGACGUAUACGGUGUGACGCCUGCCCGGUGCCGGAAGGUUAAUUGAUGGGGUCAGCGCAAGCGAAGCUCCUGAUCGAAGCCCCGGUAAACGGCGGCCGUAACUAUAACGGUCCUAAGGUAGCGAAAUUCCUUGUCGGGUAAGUUCCGACCUGCACGAAUGGCGUAAUGAUGGCCAGGCUGUCUCCACCCGAGACUCAGUGAAAUUGAACUCGCUGUGAAGAUGCAGUGUACCCGCGGCAAGACGGAAAGACCCCGUGAACCUUUACUAUAGCUUGACACUGAACAUUGAGCCUUGAUGUGUAGGAUAGGUGGGAGGCUUUGAAGUGUGGACGCCAGUCUGCAUGGAGCCGACCUUGAAAUACCACCCUUUAAUGUUUGAUGUUCUAACGUGGACCCGUUACCCGGGUUGCGGACAGUGUCUGGUGGGUAGUUUGACUGGGGCGGUCUCCUCCUAAAGAGUAACGGAGGAGCACGAAGGUUGGCUAAUCCUGGUCGGA